UCCCCGAGUGACGGAACCGUCUGAACCUCCCCAGGGCCGGAAGGCAGCAAGGAUAAGGGCGCUCUUCCGGGUGCUCGGGG
Molecule: signal recognition particle RNA, 80 nt
Filed under: uncultured Mobiluncus sp.
Lineage: Bacteria; Bacillati; Actinomycetota; Actinomycetes; Actinomycetales; Actinomycetaceae
Description: Bacterial small signal recognition particle RNA
Rfam family: Bacterial small signal recognition particle RNA
About the family: The signal recognition particle (SRP) is a universally conserved ribonucleoprotein involved in the co-translational targeting of proteins to membranes. Archaeal SRP consists of a 7S RNA and homologues of the eukaryotic SRP19 and SRP54 proteins. In most bacteria, the SRP consists of a 4.5S RNA and the Ffh protein (a homologue of the eukaryotic SRP54 protein).
Source: RNAcentral